Molecule: ribosomal RNA, 274 nt
Filed under: uncultured bacterium
Lineage: Bacteria
Description: partial 16S ribosomal RNA
Rfam family: Bacterial small subunit ribosomal RNA
Source: RNAcentral
AUACGGAGGGUUCAAGCGUUAUGCGGAAUCAUUGGGUUUAAAGGGUCCGCAGGCGGUCAAUUAAGUCAGAGGUGAAAGCCCAUCGCUCAACGAUGGAACUGCCUUUGAUACUGGUUGACUUGAGUUAUACGGAAGUAGAUAGAAUAAGUAGUGUAGCGGCGAAAUGCAUAGAUAUUACUUAGAAUACCGAUUGCGAAGGCAGUCUACUACGUAUAUACUGACGCUGAGGGACGAAAGCGUGGGGAGCGAACAGGAUUAGAUACCCUAGUAGUCC